UUUUUUUUUUUUUUUUAUUUUUUUUUUUUUUUUUGUGUUGUACUUGGUGUAAUAAAAGUCUUCAAAAAUAAAGAAGUUUGCUUUACUGUUCAUCUAUCAAACUACUACUACUACUACUACGUGCUCCAUCUAUUUCUUUUAUUACAUGAAACUGCUCAUAUCGGUGCGAUCUUAAGCGAAAGGUCUCGACGUUAAGUAUAUAGUGAACGUACAAAAAAAAAAAAAAAAAAAAAAAAA
Molecule: long non-coding RNA, 237 nt
Organism: Glossina fuscipes
Lineage: Eukaryota; Metazoa; Arthropoda; Insecta; Diptera; Glossinidae
Exons: 2
Source: RefSeq, a predicted model, not a curated record